Molecule: unclassified non-coding RNA, 236 nt
Filed under: uncultured Cortinarius
Lineage: Eukaryota; Fungi; Basidiomycota; Agaricomycetes; Agaricales; Cortinariaceae
Description: sequence contains ITS1
Source: RNAcentral
UUGAAGUAAACCUGAUAGAUUGUUGCUGGUUCUUUAAUGAACAUGUGCACAUCUGUCAUCUUUAUAUCUCCACCUGUGCACCUUUUGUAGACCUGGACAAGUUUCUUAAUCCUAGUAUUAAGGUUUUGGGAUUGACUUUAUUGACUUUCCUUAUAUUUCUGGGUCUAUGUUUAUUCAAAUACCCCAAUGUAUGUUAUAGAAUGUAAUAAGUGGGCCUUUGUGCCUAUAACAAUAUA